AGAUUGAACGCUGGCGGCAUGCCUUACACAUGCAAGUCGAACGGCAGCACGGGAGCAAUCCUGGUGGCGAGUGGCGAACGGGUGAGUAAUACAUCGGAACGUGCCCAAUCGUGGGGGAUAACGCAGCGAAAGCUGUGCUAAUACCGCAUAAGAUCUACGGAUGAAAGCAGGGGAUCGCAAGACCUUGCGCGAAUGGAGCGGCCGAUGGCAGAUUAGGUAGUUGGUGAGGUAAAGGCUCACCAAGCCUUCGAUCUGUAGCUGGUCUGAGAGGACGACCAGCCACACUGGGACUGAGACACGGCCCAGACUCUACGGGAGGCAGCAGUGGGGAAUUUUGGACAAUGGGCGAAAGCCUGAUCCAGCCAUGCCGCGUGCAGGAUGAAGGCCUUGGUUGUAAACUGCUUUGUACGGAACGAAAAGUCUACUUUACUAAAUUAAAGAGGAUACAUAGAACGGUACCGUAAGAAUAAGACGACCGGACUAACGUACGUACG
This 494-nucleotide ribosomal RNA is filed under the name uncultured soil bacterium. RNAcentral's name for it is "bacterial SSU rRNA". It matches the Rfam family "Bacterial small subunit ribosomal RNA", at positions 26 to 509 of the family's 1533-position model. The record is from RNAcentral.